RNAcentral lists this ribosomal RNA (468 nucleotides) under uncultured bacterium. RNAcentral describes it as "partial 16S ribosomal RNA". It matches the Rfam family "Bacterial small subunit ribosomal RNA", at positions 28 to 507 of the family's 1533-position model. The record is from RNAcentral.
GACGAACGCUGGCGGCGUGCUUAACACAUGCAAGUCGAACGGAAAGGCCCUGCUUUUGUGGGGUGCUCGAGUGGCGAACGGGUGAGUAACACGUGAGUAACCUGCCCUUGAUUUUGGGAUAACUUCAGGAAACUGGGGCUAAUACCGGAUAGGAGCUCCUGCUGCAUGGUGGGGGUUGGAAAGUUUCGGCGGUUGGGGAUGGACUCGCGGCUUAUCAGCUUGUUGGUGGGGUAGUGGCUUACCAAGGCUUUGACGGGUAGCCGGCCUGAGAGGGUGACCGGCCACAUUGGGACUGAGAUGCGGCCCAGACUCCUACGGGAGGCAGCAGUGGGGAAUAUUGCACAAUGGGCGGAAGCCUGAUGCAGCAACGCCGCGUGCGGGAUGACGGCCGUCGGGUUGUAAACCGCUUUCGCCUGUGACGAAGCGUGAGUGACGGUAAUGGGUAAAGAAGCACCGGCUAACUACGUG